AUGCAGUUGCUCAUCAUAGCGUUCCAACCAAGUGCGCAGUUCAGAGACCUGGUAGCCGUCGGGGCCACGGCCACCUUGGUACAUAAUAGUGCCACUCUGGAUGACAUAGAGACGCUCGAAGUAGGCGCCAUAGGCCGAGCUGCUGGAGUUGGCCAUGGUGUCGAGGACCAGAGCGCAGCCGGGCGCGCCUUGCUGCAGUACCCUAGCUGCGCUGACCCGGUCUUCCAGGCUCCGGUGCUGCGGGAUGAUGUAGGGGGAGUCAGUGGUGACCCAGCCGUCGGAGGGGUGCGCUUCCUCGAUGUAGAUGAUGAGGAAGUCGACGUCGCGCUGGUACUUGGUGACCAGGCGCUGGAAGGCGCUCAUGCGCGCCAUGAACGGUGGUCAGGUGCAGCUGCCGAAAUUGAGAACCAGCGGGCGGUUCCCUUGCGCGUAGUCGAGGAUGCGCUGGCUCUGGAAGCCGUCGGGCAGAACCACCUCGGAGUUGGGCGCCGGACCGCCCUCGUGAGCCUGCUUGAAGAAAUCCAACUUCUGGCCAUGCCACACCGCCUUGAGCGACGCCAGGGUGCACAGGCGGUUGUCGUCGGACACGCAGAUGGGCGGGUCAUCGGGAGGCACCUCCUCGCCUUCACUGUUGAGCUCCACUUCGGGCUCGGGCUGCCCCCGGCGGCGGCGGCCCAGGAAAUGCUUGCGGAUGCACAAGAAAUCGAGGAGCCAAAGCAUGAAGGCCGUGCCGAGGAAGCGCGGGAAGAGCACGAGGCACGAGGCGGUCUGGGCGCAGAGCCUCAAGGAGUGAAGCAGCAGGGAGCGGAGCAUGGUGGCUGCAGGCCCCGAAGCCCCCUGGGACCCCUCGCCCUCUCCGACCACCAACCGCGACGCGGCCUGGCUAGGCAUCUGGGCUUCGGCAGUGCAGGGAGUUCAAUUUAUAGCCGAGGCUUCAAUUGGCGGGAGACUCCACCUCCGGCCCGGCCCGCCCCCUUGCAACUUGAGCCCGGAGGGAUCACCCAGCGGCGCGGCCAAUGCCCUAGAAAUCGUGGGCUGAGGGCGGGCGCAGGCGGGCGGAGGGCGGAGCGGCCGGGCCUGGGGCCGGUGGGGGCGGGCCCGGGCCCCGCAGCCAGCUCUCGGGGCCGGGGGACUCCGGUCGCCGCUGCCGCUGGGGAUCGGGAGCCCGACCCGGGACCUGGGCGUCCGCUGGGAGGUCCUCCAGCUGGCGCGAGCGCUGCACGCCGCCCUGGUCCCCGCCGCCUGGCUCCAGCCCGCGCCCCCCUCGCCGCGCACCUGAGCCGAGCUCCCCGGCGGCCGCCGAGCCGCGCCGGAGCUCCGGUUCGCUUCCCGCGCGCCGCCGCCAACGCCGCCCACGCCGCUGCCGCUCGUGCGGGGCCGCUGCCCAGGUGCCGCGGGAGGCCGGGUCCGCGGCCGCCGCUUCGGUGGCCCCGGCUCCCGCCCCACCGAGGACGCUGGCCCGCGAGGAGGCAACUUUGCGUUCCCGCCGCCUUCCCGGCUCGCCCGCGGGCGCCGCUCGCCUGCCGGAGCCCGCCCGCCCGCCUCCCGCGCGCGCUCACACUCGCGCCUCGCACACGGCCGCCCCCCGCACCGCCCCGCCACGCACACCGCGCUCCGCGCCCCCGCCGCUGCCCGAGGCUGCCGCGCGCUGCCCCAGCCCGCGCCCUGGCCGCGCCCCGUCCCAUCUCGUUCCAGCGGGGCGCCGCGGUUCCUGGGUCAGCGGCCGCCGGGGCCCGGCUGAGAGGUGCGGAGGGCAGAGCCCGCUGGCUGGUUACCGCCGGGCACCGGAGACCGGAGGGCUGGGGAAAGCGGCGCCGGCCCUGCGCCCUAGCCGACCCGGGCGCGGGGCGCCACGGGCGUGGGGCGCGGGGCAGCGGGCGCGGGGCGGCGCCGGGCGGCUCUCCCACUAGGGGUAGCUGUUGCCUGAACGCCGGAGCGCUCCCCUCUCGCCGCUUGCCUCGCCCAGCGCAGCCCCGGCCGCUGGGCGCACCCGUCCCGUUCGUCCCCGGACGUUGCUCUCUACCCCGGGAACGUCGAGACUGGAGCGCCCGAACUGAGCCACCUUCGCGGACCCCGAGCGCGGCGGCGCGACUCACCGCGGAGGCGCCCGGACGCGUCAAGUGUCCGAUGGAUCUGAUGGAAAGGUGGCAGGCGAAAUGCACCUGGCCUCAGCAUCAAGGGCCGUGAAUGCCGUGGCAGUCGUAGCUAUGUGGUCGGAGUGGACUAGGAUGGUCCUUCCACCAAGAAGGCUGGGCCUUCCUGCUCCUCGUUGUCCAGCUGCAGAAAGUGAUUGGGCUUGACACAACUGCCCCUUCCUCCACACACUCCCAAAUAUACCUACCCCUCCCCAACCCAGUCCUCCUCGCCAGACUGUGGCUCCCGGGUGACAGGGCAGAGUUGGACUCACCUCUGUCUGCCAGGCCAGCUCUCCAUGGGGGCAGGUCCCAAGAGGCCUCUGGAUUUGGACCAACUUCAGUGUGAGCUUGAGCAAGCCCUUAGCCUCCCUCAGCCUCCGUUGCAUGAGGCGUUGUGCUGGUACGUCUCAGAGCAGGUGGCGCUACCUGGUGAGCCUGUCCAUCAGACAGGCUGUCCAUCAGACAGAGCCUGGGUGGCUCUGUCCAUCAUCUUUGUCACUGUAAUGCUGGUUAACAAAUAAACAUGAAACAAUGAGUGGUCAUUUCUCAGGUGCCAUGGAAUCGAUUUAGUGGGUCCAGGGCUCAGCUAGGGCAGGCUCCCUGGUGGGCCCGGCUGGGACGGUGGCCGCUGUGCUCUGCUCCAUACCUCUGAUCUUCUGCAAACUUGCCCAGGCCUGAUCUCAUGGCAACGGCAGAGGCACACGAAGGAAGAAGCACCCACACCUGAGCAGCAGGGAGCCACUUGUGCUGCGUCUACUCACCCUGCAUGGGCUCACGGCAGCCGUGGGUGAGCACUCACAUGGGAGCAGAGGGCCUGGCGAGGCUGCUUGGCCAAGGGUCUGGGUGCAGGGAGACGUGAAGACUAGGGCUCUUUGCAAUCUGCCACAGCGAGUGAGCCAAGGUGUCACCCGGGGACUUCUGAUGGUGGUCACCCACCACCCGGGUACUCCAGCUGGACCAGACCUAGCCCUGUCUUGAGGGAAAGACAGAUCCUUGCCUCAUCUCUUACCACAACCGCACCCAAGGCUGGUGGAGUCCACAGCCGUAGGGAGGCAGCUUCGGGGACAGGGUGGGAGGCUAGAGGCCUCUUGUAUUCCAAAGGGCACAGAUGUAUGGGACAAAGCAGGGAACGACCCAGCAUCCCACUUGGUCAUGUUCCUGCCAGGAGACUUAGGUGCUGUCCGUGGCUUCAUCUCUACCACAGAGACUGGACUUGGGCUUUGUAAAGGUAGCCCCCAGGGCUAUGGUUCAGUCUCUUUGUAGAGAGACAGAGAGUAAGGGUGAGAGUGAGCCAUGGAGAGAAAGAGGGGGCAGGCCUAGUCUCUGCCUCUAAUUAUUUGCCUCUUCCUCUUCUGCAAGUCCCCCUCAGUGGAGGUGGGAUGGAGUGUGCAGGGGUUGAGGACUGGGGGAUGGGUAUGUGAUGUGAACCCUUUUCCAUGGUUCUGAUGGCCUCACCCUGGGAGCCUGGGAGCUGGUCUGUGGGGUAAUUCCGUGGGCAGAAGGGUUGGGGUGGGAGUGGGGGAUCCCUUGGAAGCAGGGCUCUGUAGCCUUGUCUCCCUUCCCUUCCUGGGGGGUGGCUGUUCCUGGGAGGGGCGGGUGGUUGUAUUUGGAACAGGAGCCUGUUACAGUUAAGCAGUUCAAGAUGCUGGAAAUGGAGUUCCCAGGAUGACUGGAAAAUCCAUGCUGCGUUAUUUUUCAGGAGCACAGUGACAGUGGCACUGACUACUCUGCCUGGCAGACAGAAGUAGCAGGGAUGUUUUCAAACUCAUAUUGAGCUUGGUGUGUUUUCACAUGUUAAUCCUGCAGUAGGG
This 3946-nucleotide long non-coding RNA is filed under the name Macaca fascicularis (crab-eating macaque). RNAcentral describes it as "lncRNA (ENSMFAG00000048160.1)". The stretch from base 1980 to 2053 matches the Rfam family "mir-1247 microRNA precursor family". Lineage: Eukaryota; Metazoa; Chordata; Mammalia; Primates; Cercopithecidae. The record is from RNAcentral.